UUCUCUCUUCUUCCUCCUCUCUCUAAUCGUCGUCGCUUCUCCUUUUUUUCACCUUCAAUCACCUUCAAAUCAAAUCUUCAAGAGAAAAAGAAGAAGUAGAAGAUGUAAAAUUUAUUUUACUUUUUCAUUCUGAUUAACCCUAAACCAUACCUAAAUCGAAAAAAACUGGAGAAAUCAUCACUGCAACUGAGAAUUCUCAGCUCGAUCCAAAGCAAGAACACAAACUUGUUUCUUUUAAAUCGAAACCUCUCAUUUCCUGCCAACGUUAAUAAUAAUAAUAGCUCUGGUCCGGCACGAAACGGAGGCUACACUAGUGGAGAUUUCAUGACACCUAGACAGAAUUUGUAUGUUGUCAAGCUUUCAACGUCGGUCGUUGAUGGUAAUUAUGAUGGCUAGCGCAUCUAAUUAAAUAGAGUAUCUCACGGCAAUUGAAGGCAGAGACGGUGAUUGAAGGUGAGAAAGAGGAGAAGCGACGACGUUUAGAGAGAGGAAGAAGAAGAGAGAAAUAAAUAGAUAAUUGGGAUUAACUCGCGGUUUAAUAUGGUUUACAUAAAACCAAAAAAAAAAAAUAUUAAAAAUAAUAAUUAAUUAGAUAAUCGAAGUAGGAAUUUUGAUUUUGUUAAAAAAUCAUCGGUAUGAAAAUAACAAUGGUAUUUCACCUGCACCAUAGCAAAAAAAAACCUCUAUUCCCAUUUAGACACGAUAAUCGAUACAACUCUUUUCACCAUGCUUUCCGACGCCGGUAGAGCUCUAGCUCGCCGGCGUCGGGAUAUACUUUGUUCACAGUAAUCUUUCUACAGUUUUCUACAAGCUUUUCUCAACUUAUUUUUAAUACUUUGCAAUCCCUCCCUUCUUUCACUUUGCUCCUAUGGGGCUUCAAUAUACGGCGAUAGAUUAAAUAGAGGUUUCCCAGUGAACUUCAUAUCUCUCGUCCGAAACGUUCCUUGGUCAGCGAGGUUGAUGAAGGAGAAAUCUUACUUGUGCACUUGUUCCUCAACUGCUAAAUCUGAGAUUUGUCUCCCAAAUAUCUCUAGAUCUAUGGAUUCUAGAACUUUCGUAAUCCUCGUCGCUCUUUGCCUCUACGGGAUCCCCUUGAAGUCAACUAUACCAACUCCUUGUUCCUCGAUGGAAUGGAGCUCUGCCUUGACGCUGGAACCGGUGAUGACCUUGACGGCGGAAGGAUCAAACCUAACCCUACCGAGUUGCCUUUCCAUCUUCUCCUCUCCGUACACCCGCGGCGGCUCAAUCAACACAUCCCCAACGGAAGCAAAUCUAGGGUUUUGCUUGUUGGGCUUUUUUUUAUUGCUGCGGCCCAUCUCUCUUAAUUCAGCCCAUUGAAGAAAAUUUCAAUCCACGUACAAAUCACAGCAGGUCCAGGUUUAUUCUUUUUAUCUCUCCUCUAAAGCCUUUUAUAAUAAUGUUUCGUCUUCAAGGCUUGAUCAUCCGAAGACUGUGCUCUUGCCCUGAAGCGACAAACUAUAAAUGGUUUUACGAGUACUCAUCACGAAUCCUGCUAAUGAAUUAUCCUCUGUUUCAAACCGUUGAAAUCUUAAGUUGGAAAACCAUGGAUGAAAUCUUGCCUUUGAUGUUUCUACCACUAGCGCAUCUGCGAAUACAACCCAGAGUUGUCAUCUCUCUGUUUUGGCUUCAACUUACUCGAACCAUGGCUGUCAAUUCUCAACAAACUUCCAGCUCCCCAUCUAGAAUUGCACUCUUAUCUGACCUAGAGGGUCCACGGCGACCAAGCUCUCCUGUCACGGAGGGAACCUCGGCUCGGCCUUCCUCGUUUAUGGAGAGAAACUUCACAAAAUGGUUAGCUGCUCCUUGGUGGUUUGCUAAGUACUCUUUAUCAAAGUAACGAAAUCUGUUGAUAGUGACUAUCUCAAAAAUUCCCGAACUGUUCGUGGAAGUACACCCUGAUCUCGUUUGUGGCAUGUUGUUAAUCAACCUCUGUUUCCGAGUUUCUAUGGAUUUAUCCUCUAGCUUUAUUGCUUAUCUUAUCUAUGCUAACUCUAUUGUAAGCUUGUACUCCAAGAUUAUGUACCAAUGUUGUUCUCACUCUUGGGACGUUUGAAUGA
This is a long non-coding RNA of Camelina sativa (false flax), 2078 nucleotides long. RefSeq lists it as uncharacterized. The record is from RefSeq and is a predicted model, not a curated record. NCBI's taxonomy places the organism in Eukaryota, Viridiplantae, Streptophyta, Magnoliopsida, Brassicales, Brassicaceae.